AUGCCGGUGGUCUUGGCCAUCGCCUCGAGGCACUGCCGGUCGGAUGAGGAGGCGAUCUCGCGGAGAACGACGACGGCGCUGACCCGCGCUAGGAGCUCGCUGUGGGAGAGGAUAGACACGACGGAUUCCAGCGCCGCCGGGGAGGCAAUGUGGCGCCUGGACUCCUCGUCAAGAGGCAAGAACACGACCAUCGCCGCCAGGAUCUCCUCUAGGGCCGUCGCUGGCACCACCCGCUGGCCGGCAAGAUGGCAGUACGUCGACGAGAGCGCGCGGGCGGCGCUGGCGGACACGAAGCACCGGCGGUUGCGCUCGCUCUCCUUCCCGAGCGCCCUGGCCCUCGCGACCAGCUCCCGGCACCUCGGCCCGUCGCCGCGCCUCGCGGCCGCGCAUACCGCCUCCAGAAGCUCGGACGCGUCGAAAGCGGAGACCGGGACGCGGGGCGUGGGCACGCGCUCUACCCCGAGCCCCCGGUUGGCGACGCACCACUCCUGGAUCACCCUCCUCGUGGCGUGGUUAGGGACGAGCUCCUCCAGCCGCAGCGGCCGGCCGGUCACGGGGCACGUGGCGUGGCCGCGCUCCAGCCAUCCCUCCACGCUCUCCCGGUCGUACGUGAUCCCCGUCGGCGCCGUCACGGGGUCCCGCAUCAUGUCGAGCGAUAUCGGGCACAAGAAGUGGGUCGGCACGGCAGGCUCCGAAUCGGCGGCGGCGACCAACAUCGGCUGCUGCCACGUCCGCCUCACGGCGAGCGGUAUCUCGGCCGGCGCGCCUCGCGCCGCGCCGCGGAACGCGCGAGCGCGGAAGCGGGGCAGCGGCGUGACCAUCGACGGUAGAAGAAAGCGGCGAUCGAGCUGGCGUGAUAUCAGGCGCUGGGCCGGAGCCGAUCGACGACGAGAAUGGCGGCUGACGACCGAUGAUUGCCUUUUGGAUGGGGUGAGGUGA
This 939-nucleotide ribosomal RNA is filed under the name Triticum aestivum (bread wheat). RNAcentral's name for it is "partial small subunit ribosomal RNA". Lineage: Eukaryota; Viridiplantae; Streptophyta; Magnoliopsida; Poales; Poaceae. The record is from RNAcentral.